ACAACAUCUGGACCGGAGGUCUACCGAGCAAUAUCACCCGCUCGGUGGAAGAUCUUCCCUCCGUCGU
Molecule: microRNA precursor, 67 nt
Filed under: Bombyx mori (domestic silkworm)
Lineage: Eukaryota; Metazoa; Arthropoda; Insecta; Lepidoptera; Bombycidae
Description: mir-2774 microRNA precursor family
Rfam family: mir-2774 microRNA precursor family
Source: Rfam by way of RNAcentral